Wyeomyia smithii (pitcher-plant mosquito) is the source of this 605-nucleotide long non-coding RNA. RefSeq lists it as uncharacterized. Lineage: Eukaryota; Metazoa; Arthropoda; Insecta; Diptera; Culicidae. The transcript has 2 exons. The record is from RefSeq and is a predicted model, not a curated record.
CACAACUUUGAGGGUCAUCAUCUUAGAGUGUCAUUACAAUCACAAAAACAACUAGGACACCACACUUCAACAGUUUUUGUUGGAAAUAUACACCGUGAUACUACUGAUAAUGAGUUAUACGAUUUCUUUAGCAAGGUCGGUGACAUCGAGUAUGUACGACAGAUUUCUGGAAAAUACAUUGGUUAUGUGUGUUUCAAAAAAGGUGUUUCCAUUGCAAAAGCCCUAAAACUCAACCAACAACUGCUGAACGGACGCCCACUCCGGAUCAUGAAGGUUGAUCAACGCCAUCAAAACACAAGAAGAAAUAAAAAAGGCAAUCUACUGAAGAAAAACGUGGUAGCCACAGGUGACAUGACGCCUGGCAAAAUUGAUGAUCGUAUGCUUUCGAAAAACAAAUCGAUGGAUGGUUUUCGCGGAAAUCUUGCGAAAGCCAAGAGAGGCCCGAAGCAGGUGACGAAAACUAAUGCUGAGCGUAAGAAAAAAAUGCUAGCCAUGAAGUUAACCGGAAACGGCAGAGGGAAAUCGAAAAGAACUUUAUAUUGAAUAACAUAGUGUUUAUAUUACUACAGUGAAAUAAAAGAAUUGCAUUACUUCGAUUAGUCAAA